AAUUUUCGAAAAAUUGGAGACGCUGCGGACUAGCUUUCAGAUUCAGGGAAACUUAGGUUGAAAAAAAUAUAAGCUAUCCUGAGCCAAAUUUUAUAUUUUAAAAAUAAGAUAGGUGCAGAGACUCGAUGGAAGCUAUCCUAACGCAAAAAAUUUUAAGAGUUAUUUAAUUGAAUUCUCUAAGUUAAUGAAAAUAAAAAAAAAAAUUAUGAAUUUUUUUUUAACUAGCAAGCGAGGAUAAAGAUAGAGUCCAAUUUUACAUGUUAAUUUAGCCACAAUUAAAUUGAGAAAAAGAAAUCCGUUGGCUUAUUACCGUGAGGGUUCAGUCCCUCACCCCC
Molecule: non-coding RNA, 335 nt
Filed under: Ditrichum lineare
Lineage: Eukaryota; Viridiplantae; Streptophyta; Bryopsida; Pseudoditrichales; Ditrichaceae
Description: partial transfer RNA-Leu
Rfam family: Group I catalytic intron (bases 1-270)
About the family: Group I catalytic introns are large self-splicing ribozymes.
Source: RNAcentral